AAAGAAUUAGUUAAAGUUUUAUAAUAUUAAUUUGUCAAAUUAAAGUUGAUUUAUUAUUCUUUG
RNAcentral lists this transfer RNA (63 nucleotides) under Aleyrodes shizuokensis. RNAcentral describes it as "tRNA-Asp". The record is from RNAcentral. Lineage: Eukaryota; Metazoa; Arthropoda; Insecta; Hemiptera; Aleyrodidae.